This 220-nucleotide long non-coding RNA is filed under the name Lathyrus oleraceus (garden pea). RNAcentral describes it as "Pisum sativum (pea) long non-coding RNA (PSAT_LNC015336)". Lineage: Eukaryota; Viridiplantae; Streptophyta; Magnoliopsida; Fabales; Fabaceae. The record is from RNAcentral.
AGAAUGUCAAUACAUGGACUUACACCCGACUCCCAACAACAAUAAACAAUAGGAAACAGAAUGCCAAUAUAUGGACUUACACCCGACUCCCAACAAUCAAACAAAAGGAAACAGAAUGCCAAUACAUGGACUUACACCCAACUCCCAACAAUCAAACAAAAGGAAACAGAAGGCCAAUACAUGGACUUAUAUCCGACUCCUAACAAUAACAAACGCUAAC